GGGGAAUUUUGGACAAUGGGCGCAAGCCUGAUCCAGCCAUGCCGCGUGAGUGAAGAAGGCCUUCGGGUUGUAAAGCUCUUUCGCAAGGGAAGAAAACGUGUGGGCUAAUAUCCUGCGCGGAUGACGGUACCUUGACAAGAAGCCCCGGCUAACUUCGUGCCAGCAGCCGCGGUAAUACGAAGGGGGCUAGCGUUGUUCGGAAUUACUGGGCGUAAAGCGCACGUAGGCGGACAUUUAAGUCAGAGGUGAAAUCCCAGGGCUCAACCCUGGAACUGCCUUUGAUACUGGGUGUCUUGAGUACGAGAGAGGUGAGUGGAAUUCCGAGUGUAGAGGUGAAAUUCGUAGAUAUUCGGAAGAACACCAGUGGCGAAGGCGGCUCACUGGCUCGUAACUGACGCUGAGGUGCGAAAGCGUGGGGAGCAAACA
RNAcentral lists this ribosomal RNA (426 nucleotides) under uncultured Pleomorphomonas sp. Its description in RNAcentral is "bacterial SSU rRNA". It matches the Rfam family "Bacterial small subunit ribosomal RNA", at positions 356 to 774 of the family's 1533-position model. Lineage: Bacteria; Pseudomonadati; Pseudomonadota; Alphaproteobacteria; Hyphomicrobiales; Pleomorphomonadaceae. The record is from RNAcentral.